UUUAUGGAGAGUUUGAUCCUGGCUCAGGAUGAACGCUGGCGGCGUGCCUAAUACAUGCAAGUCGAGCGAACGGACGAGAAGCUUGCUUCUCUGAUGUUAGCGGCGGACGGGUGAGUAACACGUGGAUAACCUACCUAUAAGACUGGGAUAACUUCGGGAAACCGGAGCUAAUACCGGAUAAUAUUUUGAACCGCAUGGUUCAAAAGUGAAAGACGGUCUUGCUGUCACUUAUAGAUGGAUCCGCGCUG
This 248-nucleotide ribosomal RNA is filed under the name Staphylococcus aureus. RNAcentral describes it as "partial 16S ribosomal RNA". It matches the Rfam family "Bacterial small subunit ribosomal RNA", at positions 1 to 238 of the family's 1533-position model. Lineage: Bacteria; Bacillati; Bacillota; Bacilli; Caryophanales; Staphylococcaceae. The record is from RNAcentral.